RNAcentral lists this ribosomal RNA (760 nucleotides) under Prevotella melaninogenica. Its description in RNAcentral is "bacterial SSU rRNA". It matches the Rfam family "Bacterial small subunit ribosomal RNA", at positions 28 to 776 of the family's 1533-position model. The record is from RNAcentral. Lineage: Bacteria; Pseudomonadati; Bacteroidota; Bacteroidia; Bacteroidales; Prevotellaceae.
GAUGAACGCUAGCUACAGGCUUAACACAUGCAAGUCGAGGGGAAACGGCAUUAAGUGCUUGCACUUUUUGGACGUCGACCGGCGCACGGGUGAGUAACGCGUAUCCAACCUUCCCAUGACUAAGGGAUAACCUGCCGAAAGGCAGACUAAUACCUUAUGGUCUUCACUGACGGCAUCAGAUGUGAAGUAAAGAUUUAUCGGUUAUGGAUGGGGAUGCGUCUGAUUAGCUUGUUGGCGGGGUAACGGCCCACCAAGGCAACGAUCAGUAGGGGUUCUGAGAGGAAGGUCCCCCACAUUGGAACUGAGACACGGUCCAAACUCCUACGGGAGGCAGCAGUGAGGAAUAUUGGUCAAUGGGCGAGAGCCUGAACCAGCCAAGUAGCGUGCAGGAUGACGGCCCUAUGGGUUGUAAACUGCUUUUGUAUGGGGAUAAAGUCAGUCACGUGUGAGUGUGUGCAGGUACCAUACGAAUAAGGACCGGCUAAUUCCGUGCCAGCAGCCGCGGUAAUACGGAAGGUCCGGGCGUUAUCCGGAUUUAUUGGGUUUAAAGGGAGCGUAGGCUGGAGAUUAAGUGUGUUGUGAAAUGUAGACGCUCAACGUCUGACUUGCAGCGCAUACUGGUUUCCUUGAGUACGCACAACGUUGGCGGAAUUCGUCGUGUAGCGGUGAAAUGCUUAGAUAUGACGAAGAACUCCGAUUGCGAGGCAGCUGACGGGAGCGCAACUGACGCUGAAGCUCGAAGGUGCGGGUAUCGAACAGG